This 24-nucleotide non-coding RNA is filed under the name Rattus norvegicus (Norway rat). Lineage: Eukaryota; Metazoa; Chordata; Mammalia; Rodentia; Muridae. The record is from RNAcentral.
UGGUAAGGUGCUUGCCUAGCAUGC